RNAcentral lists this long non-coding RNA (502 nucleotides) under Homo sapiens (human). Its description in RNAcentral is "HSALNT0347815". The record is from RNAcentral. Lineage: Eukaryota; Metazoa; Chordata; Mammalia; Primates; Hominidae.
CCACGUUUCAGUUUGUUUAGUAAAUCGAUAGGACUGUGAGAGUCAGGCCGCUGCCCUGUCGCCAUUGAGCAAAGCUAAUAUUCUCCCAGCAUAUGGUCUAAAAUCUUUGCUAGAGAUCGGGAAAAAGAAACAAACAAACAAACAAACAACAACAAAAUCCUUAAGCUUCCUCUCCCAAGUCCCCCCAUCCCCACCCCCACUUCCCACCUCCUCGCUUUCAGCAAACUUCCCAGCCUGGGAAAAGUGCGGCGCGGGACAGCGCGACGGGGUGGGUGGGGGACCUGCUGCCGGGAGAUGCGGCGGCGGCCGCGCGGCUGACUGCGACUCGGGAGCUCCGGGAGCGGCCCGCGCAGAGAAAAGGCCCUGUGAGGACACAGCAAGAAGGCAACUAUCAGCAAGCCAGGAAGAAGGCCCUCACCAGAACUCAAUUCUGCUAGCACCCUGAUUUUGGACUUACAGUCUCAAGAACCGAGAGAAAUAAAAUUCUGUUGUUUAAACCAUC